Molecule: ribosomal RNA, 497 nt
Filed under: uncultured bacterium
Lineage: Bacteria
Description: partial 16S ribosomal RNA
Rfam family: Bacterial small subunit ribosomal RNA
Source: RNAcentral
GAUGAACGCUGGCGGCGUGCCUAAUACAUGCAAGUCGAGCGAACGGACGAGAAGCUUGCUUCUCUGAUGUUAGCGGCGGACGGGUGAGUAACACGUGGAUAACCUACCUAUAAGACUGGGAUAACUUCGGGAAACCGGAGCUAAUACCGGAUAAUAUUUUGAACCGCAUGGUUCAAAAGUGAAAGACGGUCUUGCUGUCACUUAUAGAUGGAUCCGCGCUGCAUUAGCUAGUUGGUAAGGUAACGGCUUACCAAGGCAACGAUGCAUAGCCGACCUGAGAGGGUGAUCGGCCACACUGGAACUGAGACACGGUCCAGACUCCUACGGGAGGCAGCAGUAGGGAAUCUUCCGCAAAGGGCGAAAGCCUGACGGAGCAACGCCGCGUGAGUGAUGAAGGUCUUCGGAUCGUAAAACUCUGUUAUUAGGGAAGAACAUAUGUGUAAGUAACUGUGCACAUCUUGACGGUACCUAAUCAGAAAGCCACGGCUAAAUACGUG